GGACGAUGCAGAAGGCAUGUACCUCCUGGUGAGAAGCUAUAGCAGGACUACGAAUGCAGUUGCUUCCUGGAUGACAGAAAUCCACACUGGCAUCUCCCAGCAGGGGCCUGAACCACUGCCCACAUCCUCCCUGACUCCUCCGCUGAUGGCCCCUCUGCCUCUGGCAGCACCACCUCAGCCUCCAUCUGCUUUCCUCUCGGCCCUGCUCCCAGAAGAAAGCAGUCAGGCUAAAGGGCUACAAGAUAUUUGCUGUCAGGCUGUUGCCUGAGGCUCUGACACCUUGGAGGGAACUUCCAAUGCUGCAUGGCCAGCGGGGUACAGCAAUGAAGGAGGCACUCUUUUUCCCAUGGUGUGGAGGAACCCACAAUACAGUGAGCCAGGGCCCCAGUGCGAAGUCCCGUUAGGGGGCGCAAUACAGGUGUGGGUCUGUGCCACGGCUGUCCAAGGUGCACCCUUGCUGGUCCGGUGAAGAGAAGAGAGUGCGUCUUGAGCGCUGAGCUCUUUUCCCCGCUGGGUCCAGCAGAGGCCUGGCAGCAGGGAGGAGAUGCGUCUGCCGGGGUGAAGAGCUGGAGAGACAUGCCUUGUGCACUGAACUGAAUCCCUGCAUCCCAGCCUACUUCUCCCACCCGCUCUGCCUAGAACAAAAGGCACUGGACAGCAGCCACGACUCAUUCAAAUGGAAGAAAACCCAAAACCAACAUUUGUGUUAUGUCUGAAAGGACACCAUAUUGUUCUAAUUAGUGGAAAGAGAUGCAAGAAAUAAAAUCAUAGGUGUGUCCGAGGGGUUGUCCUCGGGCAUCUGGGAUUCUGAUGCCUUCUUGGACAGGUGAAGGGACUCUAUCGUGGAACCACACAGUUGAUGGGCAUGGCCCUCUCCCAAGAGCAUGAAUGGGCCAUCACAGAGAGUCUUGUUUGUGGGCACAAUUCUUGUUUGUUUUGAUGAUGGUGGGGGGUGAGUAUGGAUGCUCUUCUCUCAAGGAGAUUCUACGCCAGGAAAACCAUCAGCCUUCUGGUAUCCUAGCUCUUUAAACUUUUC
This 1036-nucleotide long non-coding RNA is filed under the name Equus caballus (horse). Its description in RNAcentral is "lncRNA (ENSECAG00000047113.1)". The record is from RNAcentral. Lineage: Eukaryota; Metazoa; Chordata; Mammalia; Perissodactyla; Equidae.